CAAAUAUCCUCAUUCUUAUCCGCCUCCGUUUCUCUCUUCCUCUCUUGGCGAUUCAGAAACACGAAGCUAUCUUCACCAGAUCUGUUUGAGAUUUUGCUUUUUUCGGCUGCUAUUGAUGGUGGUUGUCUGGUUAAGUUGGCAUUCCGACCACUCGACAACCGUAAGAUCGACGGAGAAGAGGUGCAACUGACACUUUUAGAUCUACGGCCCCCAAACCCUAAUGCGUUCAAACAUUCAGAUCUGGUAUAAGAUCGACGGAGAAGAGAUGCCACAGACACUUUUAGAUCUACGGCCCCCAAACCCUAAUGCGUUCAAACAUUCAGAUCUGGUAUAAGAUCUGCUGCUCACAAACCCUAAUACGGUCAAACUUUUAGAUCUGGUAUAAGGUGAUGAGUUUGUUGCAAAACAUGACUUAACGAAGAUGAAUCAUGUGGUUUGUUCGAAGCCUAGGCAAGUCAACCUCUUCAGUUCCACCUUGAACGGGCCUGCUAUGAAUUGAAGAUGACAAAUGUGCUAUCAGCCAGCUGGACUUAUAUGAAUAUAAUUCAGGCCCAGACUGAGCAUGAAUUUAUGCACAAUAUUUCUGAGGAGGUCUGCUCUCAGUUACAUUCUGGAAAGUGCUCCGUUCAAUGAUAGCCAAAAAUGGUGUAAGAAAUUCACUACUUGUAGCACCAAUGCCAACUGCUUCAACAAGUCAUAUUCUUGGAAAUAACGAGUGUUUUGAGCCCUACACUUCCAAUAUCUACAGCCGUCGGGUUUUAAGUGGUGAGUUUGUUGUGGUGAACAAGCAUUUGCUGCAUGAUUGACAAUCUCACUAAGGUAAUGGAGAUCUCUGAUUGAUAAUCUCACUAAGAGUAUAUCCCGCUAAUUGGAUCGGAUGAUGCAAGAUACACUUUGUUGGGAGUGCCCAACUUUGAAUAAUGAAGCGACUUCUUUUUUUGAUCGAGCCAAGCUUAUAAAAAGUGAAUUUGGAUCGAGCCGGUGAGAUAUCGAAGGAGAUUAUGUCGGUUCGAAAGACGAUCGAGCAGGUGAAGCUUGUGACGAUGGAAGCUCAGAUGGUUGAAAAUUCUUUAGGCAUACAUGGAGAUGAGAUAUUGUAUGUUGGCGAUCGUAUAUAGCCAGAUGUGAAUCAAACUGUUACCAAGGGUGAAUAGCAGCUCAUCGAAGGUGAAUGGCAAAUGACUUGGAGUUCACAGGUAUUUGCCAUCUCAGACGGCAGCUAAUGAAGUAGCAUUCCAGCAGCAUCCGGAUUCCCCAAUGACGAUUUCUAGGAAUAUAACUGAAAGUGAUCAUGAGAUGUCAGUGGAUAAUAGAAGUGGUUUGGAUUCAAAGGAGUUAUUGACGGUUCCGGAUAGUAACGCGGGUGAGCUGGCGGUGGUCCCCAUGAGGAAGCCAAAGGGAGCUGAGGUGGCACAACGCAGGAUUCGUCGUCCGUUUUCUGUUUCCGAAGUGGAAGCUUUAGUCAAAGGUGUUGAGAAGCUUGGAACAGGAAGUCUGGUGGACAGUCGUACCUGGUUUCUUAGGAAGAAGAGACGGACUUCCAUCGAACGCAGCAUGGAUCGAAUUCGCUUACCAUCCUUUUCGUGGGAAUCAUCUUUGGCAUACUUUGAAUCUAAAGGUUUAGAUGUGCAAGACAUGGUUACACUCUUAGGAGCACAUAUGAUGAGAAGAGUUCGAUGCAUUAACAUUCAUGAUUGCCUAUACAACUUCAACAACACUAGAAAACCCGACCCCACAAUGGAAGAAUCUACAUUGAGUUACUUAAGGAACGGAUGCCCUCCAAAAACGAGGUUGGGUCAACCUAACCCGCUCAUAAACUUAAACCCGAGCAACCUGGACCAGCUCUUUACCAACUCCUACUACUCGCAAGUGUUGACCAAUAAAGUUGUUUUAGGCGUCGACCAACAGCUUCGCUAUGGGGGUGACACGUAUGUUAAGCGAUGAAUAUGCUUCGCCGAUUCCAGAUUUUAAGCUGCAGUUUACUUUUUCAAUGGCUGGGAUGGGUGGGCUUAAGGUUAUAACUGGAACUGAUGGUCAGAUCCGACUCAACUGUCGAAUGGUUAACAAGUAGAUUGAUUGUGGUUAUUUUGUUAUUAAUAAAUAGUUGGAUUGUGUUCCAUUAAUGAAAAUCAAAAUCUAAUUCUCUGCUGCUGAUAUAUAAGAAUUGUAAUGAGUUCUUUAAUUCUA
Helianthus annuus (common sunflower) is the source of this 2187-nucleotide RNA transcript. It is a transcript of the gene named probable peroxidase 26, with no coding region annotated. NCBI's taxonomy places the organism in Eukaryota, Viridiplantae, Streptophyta, Magnoliopsida, Asterales, Asteraceae. The transcript has 12 exons. The record is from RefSeq and is a predicted model, not a curated record.